ACGAACGCUGGCGGCGUGCUUAACACAUGCAAGUCGAACGGAAAGGCCCUGCUUUUGUGGGGUGCUCGAGUGGCGAACGGGUGAGUAACACGUGAGUAACCUGCCCUUGACUUUGGGAUAACCUCAGGAAACUGGGGCUAAUACCGGAUAGGAGCUCCUGCUGCAUGGUGGGGGUUGGAAAGUUUCGGCGGUUGGGGAUGGACUCGCGGCUUAUCAGCUUGUUGGUGGGGUAGUGGCUUACCAAGGCUUUGACGGGUAGCCGGCCUGAGAGGGUGACCGGCCACAUUGGGACUGAGAUACGGCCCAGACUCCUACGGGAGGCAGCAGUGGGGAAUAUUGCACAAUGGGCGGAAGCCUGAUGCAGCAACGCCGCGUGCGGGAUGACGGCCUUCGGGUUGUAAACCGCUUUCGCCUGUGACGAAGCGUGAGUGACGGUAAUGGGUAAAGAAGCGCCGGCUAACUACGUG
This 467-nucleotide ribosomal RNA is filed under the name uncultured bacterium. Its description in RNAcentral is "partial 16S ribosomal RNA". It matches the Rfam family "Bacterial small subunit ribosomal RNA", at positions 29 to 507 of the family's 1533-position model. The record is from RNAcentral.